This 942-nucleotide ribosomal RNA is filed under the name uncultured archaeon. RNAcentral's name for it is "bacterial SSU rRNA". It matches the Rfam family "Archaeal small subunit ribosomal RNA", at positions 454 to 1395 of the family's 1478-position model. The record is from RNAcentral.
UGUGCCAGCAGCCGCGGUAAAACCAGCACCUCAAGUGGUCAGGAUGAUUAUUGGGCCUAAAGCAUCCGUAGCUCGUUUUGUAAGUUUUCGGUUAAAUCCAUGCGCUCAACGUAUGGGCUGCCGGGAGUACUGCAUAACUAGGAAGUGGGAGAGGUAGACGGUACUCGGUAGGAAGGGGUAAAAUCCUUUGAUCUAUUGACGACCACCUGUGGCGAAGGCGGUCUACCAGAACACGUUCGACGGUGAGGGAUGAAAGCUGGGGGAGCAAACCGGAUUAGAUACCCGGGUAGUCCCAGCUGUAAACUAUGCAAACUCAGUGACGCAUUGGCUUGUGGCCAAUGCAGUGCUGCAGGGAAGCCGUUAAGUUUGCCGCCUGGGAAGUACGUACGCAAGUAUGAAACUUAAAGGAAUUGGCGGGGGAGCACCACAAGGGGUGAAGCCUGCGGUUCAAUUGGAGUCAACGCCAGAAAUCUUACCCGGAGAGACAGCAGAAUGAAGGUUAAGCUGAAGACUUUACCAGACAAGCUGAGAGGUGGUGCAUGGCCGUCGCCAGCUCGUGCCGUGAGAUGUCCUGUUAAGUCAGGUAACGAGCGAGAUCCCUGCCUCUAGUUGCCACCAUUACUCUCAGGAGUAGUGGGGCGAAUUAGCGGGACCGCCGCAGUUAAUGCGGAGGAAGGAAGGGGCCACGGCAGGUCAGUAUGCCCCGAAACUCUGGGGUCACACGCGGGCUGCAAUGGUAGUAACAAUGGGUUCCGAACCCGAAAGGCGGAGGUAAUCCUCAAAUGCUACCACAGUUAUGAUCGAGGGCUGCAACUCGCCCUCAUGGAUAUGGAAUCCCUAGUAAUUGCGCGUCAUUAUCGCGCGGUGAAUACGUCCCUGCUCCUUGCACACACCGCCCGUCGUUUCAUUGAAGUUUACUUUUAGCGAGGUGAUGCCUAAUUG